GAGUCCGCUUAGUAACAUUCCGUAAAAGCCCGAUUACGAAAUUACAGAACGGUUGAAAUAUUAUCUGGAACUGAUGUUCUUUAAUUGUCAUCAGAUGAGAUUAGCUUAACAGCGCACUGUGGCUACGUAGAUCAUUAACGGAACAGCUGUCACCAGUACAUACGUCAAUGUUCUAGGACAUCGCCAUAAAGACGUUAAAGCCAUAAAGACGUCGCCAUAAAGACGUCGCCAUAAAGACCGUGCAGCAGGACAUAUAUAACGCGCAUAAAUCGCCAGCAGUGGAUGUGAACUCAAAAGCGUUUUUUUCGUACGCAAUACGCUUUGAGCCAAGAAAGAAGAACCUUUCUUGCCAUUAACCGUACAUUGCAUAUGAUUAUGCUGUAUGUUCCGCCAGUUCCGGUAUGUGUUCAGUCCAUGAUUGGCUCCAAAAAAAGACGCAGAUCAAACAUUUCCGGUUUAGUCCGCCUGCUAACUAGUUGACAAUCAGAUACACUGUAUUUCCAGCAACACGGGAUGGACCGACAGCAAAUGCAAGACCUGCUCAAAAUCCAGCAGCAGAAGGAAGACGAACUGAUGAGGACAAUGCGCAGUAUGCAGGCGGGCUUCAUCCAACGCCAUAACGAAAUCCGGAUGUGGCUUAGGCAGAUCACACGGGACUUGUCCAAGAAUCCAAACAGGACACAACAAAUUCAGAUGGUGCGGGACUUGGACAAGUACAUGGCCGCGCAGAACGAGAACAAUGAAUGUUACACUUCAAGUUUCCUACAAUGUUGGCGUGCACUUACGGAAGAACAUAAGCGAACCCGCGACGUCAUUAACAGAGCCCUGCUCCAAGAAAUAAAUAAUGGAAUAUAAAAGCAGUCGAAAAUUCUGAUAAUUUUGCGGCAGUUGCAAAUAUCUUUCAGAUCAAAUGUUUUGCGCUUGAUUCAACCUGGCAGUUACGUUUUUCCGAAUAUAAAAAUCUCCAAAAUGUAGCUGUCAACCAAAUCAACCGAAUUUUGUACUUCGUCAUUAAAUAAUGUUUGCUGCCUGCGCAAACUGCAAUAACCAUGGGCUUGGUAAAAUGAUAAA
This is a long non-coding RNA of Paramacrobiotus metropolitanus, 1071 nucleotides long. RefSeq lists it as uncharacterized. The transcript has 3 exons. Lineage: Eukaryota; Metazoa; Tardigrada; Eutardigrada; Parachela; Macrobiotidae. The record is from RefSeq and is a predicted model, not a curated record.